GUAUAUGUGUGUGUAUCUGUACGUAUAUGUGUGUGUGUAUCUCACACAUAUAUACAUACACAGAUACACACAUAUGUACAUACAGAUACACACACAUAUAUACAUACAUAUACACACAUA
This 120-nucleotide microRNA precursor is filed under the name Petromyzon marinus (sea lamprey). RNAcentral's name for it is "miRNA (ENSPMAG00000010908.1)". The record is from RNAcentral. Lineage: Eukaryota; Metazoa; Chordata; Hyperoartia; Petromyzontiformes; Petromyzontidae.